CCUACGGGUGGCUGCAGUCGAGAAUCAUUCACAAUGGGGGAAACCCUGAUGGUGCGACGCCGCGUGGGGGAAUGAAGGUCUUCGGAUUGUAAACCCCUGUCAUGUGGGAGCAAAUUAAAAAGAUAGUACCACAAGAGGAAGAGCCGGCUAACUCUGUGCCAGCAGCCGCGGUAAUACAGAGGUCUCAAGCGUUGUUCGGAAUCACUGGGCGUAAAGCGUGCGUAGGCUGUUUCUUAAGUCGGGUGUGAAAGGCGCGGGCUCAACCCGCGGACGGCACAUGAUACUGCGAGACUAGAGUAAGGGAGGGGGAAGCGGAAUUCUCGGUGUAGCAGUGAAAUGCGUAGAUAUCGAGAGGAACACUCGUGGCGAAGGCGGGUUCCUGGACAUUAACUGACGCUGAGGCACGAAGGCCAGGGGAGCGAAAGGGAUUAGAUACCCCAGUAGUC
Molecule: ribosomal RNA, 446 nt
Filed under: uncultured bacterium
Lineage: Bacteria
Description: partial 16S ribosomal RNA
Rfam family: Bacterial small subunit ribosomal RNA
Source: RNAcentral